AGGGGGGCUGCUGCUGGCUUCUAACCGAGGCAUGUGCGCGUCCCUCGCCUUCUAUUCCACAUACACCUGUGCACCUUUGGCGAGCGCCUCCCGUCUGGAGCCGUCCCUUGUAACCUCUUCGGAGGGGUAGGGGCCGGGGCGCUCCCUCUUCAUUACAUUACAGCCUGUCUUAACGCAUGUCUGAGCUCUACGGAGUGAAACGAAAUACAACUUUCANCAACGGAUCUCUUGGCUUUCGCAUCGAUGAAGAACGCCGCGAAAGUGCGAAACGUAAUGUGAAUUGCAGAAUUCAGUGAAUCAUCGAAUCUUUGAACGCAUCUUGCGCUCCUUGGUAUUCCGAGGAGCAUGCCUGUUUGAGUGUCGUGAACUCUCUCAACCUUUCUCUUUCUCUUCGGAGGAGGGGCCAGGGUUGGAUUUGGACGCCUGCCGCGGGAUCUCUCGCGGCUCGUCUUGAAAUGCAUUAGCUGGUCCACCUCGGUUCAACAACGGUGUGAUAAGAAACGCUUCGUGACUGUGGCGCCGUUGUAAGCCGACCUUAGGAGGAUCGCUUCGAAUCGUCUUCGGACAGCACUUUACGUCAUCUGACCUCAAAUCAGGUAGGACUACCCGCUGAACUUAA
RNAcentral lists this ribosomal RNA (619 nucleotides) under Ramaria apiculata. RNAcentral's name for it is "eukaryotic LSU rRNA". The stretch from base 209 to 363 matches the Rfam family "5.8S ribosomal RNA". The record is from RNAcentral. Lineage: Eukaryota; Fungi; Basidiomycota; Agaricomycetes; Gomphales; Gomphaceae.